This 424-nucleotide ribosomal RNA is filed under the name uncultured soil bacterium. Its description in RNAcentral is "bacterial SSU rRNA". It matches the Rfam family "Bacterial small subunit ribosomal RNA", at positions 26 to 457 of the family's 1533-position model. The record is from RNAcentral.
AGAUUGAACGCUGGCGGCAUGCCUUACACAUGCAAGUCGAACGGCAGCGCGGGGCAACCUGGCGGCGAGUGGCGAACGGGUGAGUAAUAUAUCGGAACGUACCCUGGAGUGGGGGAUAACGUAGCGAAAGUUACGCUAAUACCGCAUACGAUCUAAGGAUGAAAGUGGGGGAUCGCAAGACCUCAUGCUCCUGGAGCGGCCGAUAUCUGAUUAGCUAGUUGGUGGGGUAAAGGCCUACCAAGGCAUCGAUCAGUAGCUGGUCUGAGAGGACGACCAGCCACACUGGAACUGAGACACGGUCCAGACUCCUACGGGAGGCAGCAGUGGGGAAUUUUUGGACAAUGGGCGAAAGCCUGAUCCAGCAAUGCCGCGUGAGUGAAGAAGGUCCUGGUUGUAAGUCUCUUUGUCAGGAAGAACGGUGAGG